RNAcentral lists this ribosomal RNA (1499 nucleotides) under Salmonella enterica. RNAcentral's name for it is "partial 23S ribosomal RNA". It matches the Rfam family "Bacterial large subunit ribosomal RNA", at positions 161 to 1616 of the family's 2925-position model. The record is from RNAcentral. RNAcentral also lists the same sequence under 2 other names. Lineage: Bacteria; Pseudomonadati; Pseudomonadota; Gammaproteobacteria; Enterobacterales; Enterobacteriaceae.
AAUCCAUAGGUUAAUGAGGCGAACCGGGGGAACUGAAACAUCUAAGUACCCCGAGGAAAAGAAAUCAACCGAGAUUCCCCCAGUAGCGGCGAGCGAACGGGGAGGAGCCCAGAGCCUGAAUCAGCAUGUGUGUUAGUGGAAGCGUCUGGAAAGGCGCGCGAUACAGGGUGACAGCCCCGUACACAAAAGCGCAUGUGCUGUGAGCUCGAUGAGUAGGGCGGGACACGUGGUAUCCUGUCUGAAUAUGGGGGGACCAUCCUCCAAGGCUAAAUACUCCUGACUGACCGAUAGUGAACCAGUACCGUGAGGGAAAGGCGAAAAGAACCCCGGCGAGGGGAGUGAAAAAGAACCUGAAACCGUGUACGUACAAGCAGUGGGAGCACCCUUCGGGGUGUGACUGCGUACCUUUUGUAUAAUGGGUCAGCGACUUAUAUUCUGUAGCAAGGUUAACCGUAUAGGGGAGCCGGAGGGAAACCGAGUCUUAACCGGGCGUUAAGUUGCAGGGUAUAGACCCGAAACCCGGUGAUCUAGCCAUGGGCAGGUUGAAGGUUGGGUAACACUAACUGGAGGACCGAACCGACUAAUGUUGAAAAAUUAGCGGAUGACCUGUGGCUGGGGGUGAAAGGCCAAUCAAACCGGGAGAUAGCUGGUUCUCCCCGAAAGCUAUUUAGGUAGCGCCUCGUGAAUUCAUCUCCGGGGGUAGAGCACUGUUUCGGCUAGGGGGCCAUCCCGGCUUACCAACCCGAUGCAAACUGCGAAUACCGGAGAAUGUUAUCACGGGAGACACACGGCGGGUGCUAACGUCCGUCGUGAAGAGGGAAACAACCCAGACCGCCAGCUAAGGUCCCAAAGUCAUGGUUAAGUGGGAAACGAUGUGGGAAGGCCCAGACAGCCAGGAUGUUGGCUUAGAAGCAGCCAUCAUUUAAAGAAAGCGUAAUAGCUCACUGGUCGAGUCGGCCUGCGCGGAAGAUGUAACGGGGCUAAACCAUGCACCGAAGCUGCGGCAGCGAACGUAUCACCCAAGACAACUUUACGGAGUUGACGAUUGACGGAGCGAAGCGACGUCAAAGCGUUCAUUAAAGUCGAGUUGGCUUAGGGAUACGUUCGUUGGGUAGGGGAGCGUUCUGUAAGCCUGUGAAGGUGUGUCGUGAGGCAUGCUGGAGGUAUCAGAAGUGCGAAUGCUGACAUAAGUAACGAUAAAGCGGGUGAAAAGCCCGCUCGCCGGAAGACCAAGGGUUCCUGUCCAACGUUAAUCGGGGCAGGGUGAGUCGACCCCUAAGGCGAGGCCGAAAGGCGUAGUCGAUGGGAAACGGGUUAAUAUUCCCGUACUUGGUGUUACUGCGAAGGGGGGACGGAGAAGGCUAUGUUGGCCGGGCGACGGUUGUCCCGGUUUAAGCGUGUAGGUGUGUGUUCCAGGUAAAUCCGGUUCACUUUAACACUGAGGCGUGACGACGAGGCACUACGGUGCUGAAGCAACAAAUGCCCUGCUUCCAGGAAAA